Molecule: long non-coding RNA, 654 nt
Organism: Diorhabda carinulata
Lineage: Eukaryota; Metazoa; Arthropoda; Insecta; Coleoptera; Chrysomelidae
Exons: 3
Source: RefSeq, a predicted model, not a curated record
UUGUCAUUAAAAGUUAAUAAUUGGGACAAUAACAAUAUAUAUUUUAUCUAACACACAAGACACACAAAAAAAAAAUAUUCAAUAGACGGACUUCAAAAAAUGACGAAGUGUUAAAAGGAAAUGACACUGACAAAGUGGACAAAAUAAUAUACAAUUUGCAUUUGGAUUGCAAUGAUUUCUAUGUAGAUGGUUGAGCAAAAUUAAAUAGUAAAAAGAAUAGCGGCACGAAACCUGAAGAAAAGUAGGGAUUAACUGAAAAAAUAACGAUAUUCAGGGAUUUUAUUGGGAGUGAAUGGAUUGAGAAGCCUUAUUAACAAUAAAGUGAGAUGAAUAUAAGGUCCACCCCGGGCUGUAGUGCCAUUUAGUAAGUGAGGGAUUUGCGGAAUUAGAAGUAAUUCAAGUUUAGUGAGCUAAACAAGGAAAAGACAUUGGAAGCCCCAAAAAAGGUGGUUUAAUGAAGACGAACAAGAUAUAAAGAGAUUGGAAAUUGAAAAUUGGAAAAACGAGGCAAGAGAUCAGGCGAAGUUUUUUAAUGGUUUGACUUCCUCUAUAGCCCUUCUGACAGUACAGAGCACUCAAUAUAUACUAUGAUUGCUACUUAAUACGCCGUUACUAUAAGUGAAGAUAAUGUUGUAAAGUAAAUUUCAAGUAUGG